AUACGUAGGGUGCAAGCGUUAAUAGGAAUUACUGGGCGUAAAGCGUGCGCAGGCGGUUUUGUAAGACAGAGGUAAGAUCCCCGGGCUCAACCUGGGAACUGCCUUUGUGACUGCAAGGCUAAAGUACGGCAGAGGGGGAUGGAAUUCCGCGUGUAGCAGUGAAAUGCGUAGAUAUGCGGAGGAACCCCGAUGGCGAAGGCCAUCCCCUGGGCAUGUACUGACGCUCAUGCACGAAAGCGUGGGGAGCUAACAGGAUGAGAUACCCUGGUAGUCCACGCCCUAAACGAUGUCAACUGGUUGUUGGGUCUUCAUUGACUCAGUAACGAAGCUAACGCGUGUAGUGGACCGCCUGGGGAGUACGGCCGCAAGGGUGAAACUCAAAGGAAUUGACGGGG
Molecule: ribosomal RNA, 395 nt
Filed under: uncultured bacterium
Lineage: Bacteria
Description: partial 16S ribosomal RNA
Rfam family: Bacterial small subunit ribosomal RNA
Source: RNAcentral